CAGUGCCGCGGUAAUACGUAGGUGGCAAGCAUUGUCCGGAAUUAUUGGGCGUAAAGGGCUCGCAGGCGGUUUCUUAAGUCUGAUGUGAAAGCCCCCGGCUCAACCGGGGAGGGUCAUUGGAAACUGGGAAACUUGAGUGCAGAAGAGGAGAGUGGAAUUCCACGUGUAGCGGUGAAAUGCGUAGAGAUGUGGAGGAACACCAGUGGCGAAGGCGACUCUCUGGUCUGUAACUGACGCUGAGGAGCGAAAGCGUGGGGAGCGAACAGGAUUAGAUACCCGCGUAGUCCCUGUCUCUUAUACA
This 301-nucleotide ribosomal RNA is filed under the name uncultured bacterium. Its description in RNAcentral is "partial 16S ribosomal RNA". It matches the Rfam family "Bacterial small subunit ribosomal RNA", at positions 509 to 808 of the family's 1533-position model. The record is from RNAcentral.